Molecule: ribosomal RNA, 171 nt
Filed under: uncultured Rhodobacterales bacterium
Lineage: Bacteria; Pseudomonadati; Pseudomonadota; Alphaproteobacteria; Rhodobacterales
Description: partial 16S ribosomal RNA
Rfam family: Bacterial small subunit ribosomal RNA
Source: RNAcentral
ACUCCUACGGGGGGCAGCAGUGGGGAAUCUUAGACAAUGGGCGCAAGCCUGAUCUAGCGAUGCCGCGUGAGUGACGAAGGUCUUAGGAUCGUAAAGCUCUUUCUCCUGUGAUGAUAAUGACUGUAGCCGGAUAAGAAUCCCCGGCUAACUCCGUGCCAGCAGCCGCGGUAA